GAUGAACGCUGGCGGCGUGCCUAAUACAUGCAAGUCGAGCGAACGGACGAGAAGCUUGCUUUUCUGAUGUUAGCGGCGGACGGGUGAGUAACACGUGGAUAACCUACCUAUAAGACUGGGAUAACUUCGGGAAACCGGAGCUAAUACCGGAUAAUAUUUUGAACCGCAUGGUUCAAAAGUGAAAGACGGUCUUGCUGUCACUUAUAGAUGGAUCCGCGCUGCAUUAGCUAGUUGGUAAGGUAACGGCUUAACAAGGCAACGAUGCAUAGCCGACCUGAGAGGGUGAUCGGCCACGCUGGAACUGAGACACGGUCCAGACUCCUACGGGAGGCAGCAGUAGGGAAUCUUCCGCAAUGGGCGAAAGCCUGACGGAGCGACGCCGCGUGAGUGAUGAAGGUCUUCGGAGCGUAAAACUCUGUUAUUAGGGAAGAACAUAUUUGUAAGUAACUGUACACAUCUUGACGGUACCUAGUCAAAAAGCCACGGCUAACUACGUG
RNAcentral lists this ribosomal RNA (497 nucleotides) under uncultured bacterium. RNAcentral's name for it is "partial 16S ribosomal RNA". It matches the Rfam family "Bacterial small subunit ribosomal RNA", at positions 28 to 507 of the family's 1533-position model. The record is from RNAcentral.